AUGCUGGGAAUACCAACUAACACUUGUUACAGAGUGUGCAUGGCGGCUGCUGACAGGCCUUCCCAGUGCCAGCAAGUGGAUACAGAAGCAAUCUCCCAAGCUUUCCAUGACAUUCAAGUGACCAGGCACUUGGACACCCAUCACUGGGGCUGUGUUCCUACCUUAGCCAGUGCCCACAAGCAGCAGCGGUUCCUCUGGCGUUUUGACCCUGAAACAAUGAGCAGAGAAGAGAUGCUGUUUCAAAAUGGGAAAAGCCAGUGGGUAUCUAGGGGAAUUCCGGGCAGAGAUAAAUUGGCCCACAUGACAUCUCAGCGAAAACUCAAGGUCAAAUGAGUCCUUUAAUUCAAGCAUCAGUGGGACUGCGAAGGCUAUGUACAUGUCUGCCAACUAAAGGAUGAACACUUAUAUGUUUAUCUGUGACUUCUAAGUAAAGAAUUCUACUUUGUCCAUUCAUCUAUGGAUGGACAAGUAGGUUGCUUCUAUAUCUUGUCUAUCGUAAAUAAUGCUGUCAUGAACAUAUAUCUUUUCUAAUUAGUAUUUUUGUUUCCUUUGGGUAGAUACCCAGAAGAAUUGCUGAGUUGUAUGGUGAUUCUAUUUUUAAUUUGUUGAGGAACCUCCAUACUGUUUUCCAUGACGAUCGUACCAAUUUACACCCCCACCAACAUUGCACAUGCUUCCCUCUCCUCCACAUCUUUGCCAACCCUGGUUAUUUGUUGUCUUUUUGAUGACAGUCAUCCUGACAGAUGUGAGGUAGCAUCUCAUUGUGGUUUUGAUUUGCAUGUCCCUGAGGAUGAGUAAUAUUGAGUGUCUUUUCAUAUGUCUGUUGGCCUCUGUAUGUCUUCUUUGGAAAAAUUUAUGUUUGGGCCCUCUGCCCAUUUUUUUUUUCCCUUUUUAUGGCCACACCCGAGGCACAUGGAAAUUCCUGAGCUAGGGUUGAAUUGGAGAUGCAGCUGUGAGCCUACUCCACAGCCACAUCAGCACUGAAUCUGAGCCGCAUCUGUGACCUACCCUGCAGCUUGUAGCAACACUGGAACCUUAACCCACUGAGUGAGGCCAGGGAUUGAACCCGCAUCCUUACAGAGACAGCAUUGAGUCCUUAAUCUGCUGAGCCACAACUGGAACUCUUUCUUAACCCAUUUUUUAAUAGGGUUUUUAUAUUGAGUUUUAUGACCUCUUUGUAUAUUCUGGAUAUUAACACAUUAUGGGAUAUAUCUUUUGCAAAUAUCUCCCUCCAUUUUGUUAAUAGUUCCCUUUGCCAUGUAAAAGCUUUGUGUAUACACACACAAACGCAUACACACAUACAUACACACACACACACACACACACACAUGCACAGUGGAAUAUUACUUAGCCAUAAAAAUUGAAAUCUUGCCAUUGGGGAAAACAUGGAUGGGUCCAGACGGUAUUAUGCUAAAUGAAAUAAGUCAGACCAAGAGAGACAAAUACCAUACAGUCUCACCUAUAUGAAGAAUCUAAAAAACACAACAGACAAAAUGAAAUAAAAAUGGAUUCAUACAGAUGAGAACA
This 1527-nucleotide long non-coding RNA is filed under the name Sus scrofa (pig). RNAcentral's name for it is "lncRNA (ENSSSCG00050003440.1)". Lineage: Eukaryota; Metazoa; Chordata; Mammalia; Artiodactyla; Suidae. The record is from RNAcentral.